This 679-nucleotide ribosomal RNA is filed under the name Vibrio rotiferianus. RNAcentral's name for it is "bacterial SSU rRNA". It matches the Rfam family "Bacterial small subunit ribosomal RNA", at positions 366 to 1037 of the family's 1533-position model. Lineage: Bacteria; Pseudomonadati; Pseudomonadota; Gammaproteobacteria; Vibrionales; Vibrionaceae. The record is from RNAcentral.
GCACAAUGGGCGCAAGCCUGAUGCAGCCAUGCCGCGUGUGUGAAGAAGGCCUUCGGGUUGUAAAGCACUUUCAGUCGUGAGGAAGGUAGUGUAGUUAAUAGCUGCAUUAUUUGACGUUAGCGACAGAAGAAGCACCGGCUAACUCCGUGCCAGCAGCCGCGGUAAUACGGAGGGUGCGAGCGUUAAUCGGAAUUACUGGGCGUAAAGCGCAUGCAGGUGGUUUGUUAAGUCAGAUGUGAAAGCCCGGGGCUCAACCUCGGAAUUGCAUUUGAAACUGGCAGACUAGAGUACUGUAGAGGGGGGUAGAAUUUCAGGUGUAGCGGUGAAAUGCGUAGAGAUCUGAAGGAAUACCGGUGGCGAAGGCGGCCCCCUGGACAGAUACUGACACUCAGAUGCGAAAGCGUGGGGAGCAAACAGGAUUAGAUACCCUGGUAGUCCACGCCGUAAACGAUGUCUACUUGGAGGUUGUGGCCUUGAGCCGUGGCUUUCGGAGCUAACGCGUUAAGUAGACCGCCUGGGGAGUACGGUCGCAAGAUUAAAACUCAAAUGAAUUGACGGGGGCCCGCACAAGCGGUGGAGCAUGUGGUUUAAUUCGAUGCAACGCGAAGAACCUUACCUACUCUUGACAUCCAGAGAACUUUCCAGAGAUGGAUUGGUGCCUUCGGGAACUCUGAGACAG